This 274-nucleotide ribosomal RNA is filed under the name uncultured bacterium. Its description in RNAcentral is "partial 16S ribosomal RNA". It matches the Rfam family "Bacterial small subunit ribosomal RNA", at positions 523 to 796 of the family's 1533-position model. The record is from RNAcentral.
AUACGGAGGGCGCAAGCGUUGUUCGGAAUUACUGGGCGUAAAGCGCGUGUAGGCGGUUUGGAAAGUCGGAUGUGAAAUCCCUGGGCUCAACCCAGGAACUGCAUCCGAAACUUCUGGACUAGAGUCCCGGAGAGGAAGGCAGAAUUCCCAGUGUAGGGGUGAAAUCCGUAGAUAUUGGGAGGAAUACCUGAGGCGAAGGCGGCCUUCUGGACGGUGACUGACGCUGAGACGCGAAAGCGUGGGGAGCAAACAGGAUUAGAAACCCCAGUAGUCC